GCCAGAUGCAGUGGCUCAUUCCUGUAGUCCCAGCUACUCGGGAGCCUGAGGUGGUAGGAUCACUUGAGUCCAGGAGGAAGUUCUGGGCUAUGCCAAUCAGGUGUCCGCACUAAGUUCAGCAUCAACAUGGUGACCUCCCCGGAGCAAGGGAUCACCAGGUUGCCUAUGGAGGAGUGAACCGGCCCAGGUCAGAAACCGAGCAGGUCAAAACUCUCGUGUUGAUCAGUAGUGGGAUUGUGCCUGUGAACAAACACUGUACUCCAGCCUGGGCAACACAGCGAGACCACGUCUCU
Molecule: signal recognition particle RNA, 293 nt
Filed under: Saimiri boliviensis boliviensis (Bolivian squirrel monkey)
Lineage: Eukaryota; Metazoa; Chordata; Mammalia; Primates; Cebidae
Description: Metazoan signal recognition particle RNA (ENSSBOG00000009671.1)
Rfam family: Metazoan signal recognition particle RNA
About the family: The signal recognition particle (SRP) is a universally conserved ribonucleoprotein. It is involved in the co-translational targeting of proteins to membranes.
Source: RNAcentral